CAUGCAAGUCGAACGAGGUCUUCGGACCUAGUGGCGCACGGGUGAGUAACAUGUGGGAAUCUACCUGAAGGUUCGGAAUAACUGCGGGAAACUGUAGCUAAUACCGGAUGUGUCUGCAAAGAGAAAGAUUUAUCGCCUUCAGAUGAGCCCGCACUAGAUUAGCUAGUUGGUGAGGUAAUUGCUCCACCAAGGCUACGAUCUAUAGCUGAUUUGAGAGGAUGAUCAGCCACACUGGGACUGAGACACGGCCCAGACUCCUACGGGAGGCAGCAGUAGGGAAUAUUGGACAAUGGGGGAAACCCUGAUCCAGCAAUGCCGCGUGAGUGAAGAAGGCCUUCGGGUUGUAAAGCUCUUUCAUCAACGAUGAUAAUGACAUUAAUUGAAGAAGAAGCCCCGGCUAACUUCGUGCCAGCAGCCGCGGUAAUACGAAGGGGGCUAGCGUUGUUCGGAAUCACUGGGCGUAAAGCGUAUGUAGGCGGAUCAAAAAGUUAGAUGUGAAAUCCCUGGGCUCAACCCAGGAACUGCAUUUAAAACUAGUGAUCUAGAAUUUGGGUAGGGGUUAGUAGAAUUUCCAGUGUAGAGGUGAAAUUCGUAGAUAUU
RNAcentral lists this ribosomal RNA (600 nucleotides) under uncultured Alphaproteobacteria bacterium. RNAcentral describes it as "bacterial SSU rRNA". It matches the Rfam family "Bacterial small subunit ribosomal RNA", at positions 54 to 698 of the family's 1533-position model. Lineage: Bacteria; Pseudomonadati; Pseudomonadota; Alphaproteobacteria. The record is from RNAcentral.